Molecule: ribosomal RNA, 452 nt
Filed under: uncultured Paracoccaceae bacterium
Lineage: Bacteria; Pseudomonadati; Pseudomonadota; Alphaproteobacteria; Rhodobacterales; Paracoccaceae
Description: bacterial SSU rRNA
Rfam family: Bacterial small subunit ribosomal RNA
Source: RNAcentral
CCUAGCGGCGGACGGGUUAGUAACGCGUGGGAACGUGCCCAAAGGUAGGGAAUAACCUCGGGAAACUGAGAGUAAUACCCUAUGUGCCCUUCGGGGGAAAGAUUUAUCGCCUUUGGAUCGGCCCGCGUUAGAUUAGGUAGUUGGUGGGGUAAUGGCCUACCAAGCCUACGAUCUAUAGCUGGUUUGAGAGGAUGAUCAGCAACACUGGGACUGAGACACGGCCCAGACUCCUACGGGAGGCAGCAGUGGGGAAUCUUCGGCAAUGGGCGCAAGCCUGACCGAGCCAUGCCGCGUGAGCGAUGAAGGCCUUAGGGUUGUAAAGCUCUUUCGCCAGGGAUGAUAAUGACAGUACCUGGUAAAGAAACCCCGGCUAACUCCGUGCCAGCAGCCGCGGUAAUACGGAGGGAGCUAGCGUUGUUCGGAAUUACUGGGCGUAAAGCGCACGUAGGCGG